UACGUAUGGGGCAAGCGUUAUCCGGAAUUAUUGGGCGUAAAGAGUGCGUAGGUGGUUACCUAAGCGCAAGGUUUAAUCUUGAGGCUCAACCUCAUUCUGCCUUGCGAACUGGGCUACUUGAGUGCUGGAGGGGAAAGCGGAAUUCCUAGUGUAGCGGUGAAAUGCGUAGAUAUUAGGAAGAACACCGGUGGCGAAGGCGGCUUUCUGGACAGUAACUGACACUGAGGCACGAAAGCGUGGGGAGCAAACA
RNAcentral lists this ribosomal RNA (250 nucleotides) under uncultured prokaryote. RNAcentral's name for it is "partial 16S ribosomal RNA". It matches the Rfam family "Bacterial small subunit ribosomal RNA", at positions 524 to 774 of the family's 1533-position model. The record is from RNAcentral.